Molecule: ribosomal RNA, 736 nt
Filed under: uncultured Atopobium sp.
Lineage: Bacteria; Bacillati; Actinomycetota; Coriobacteriia; Coriobacteriales; Atopobiaceae
Description: bacterial SSU rRNA
Rfam family: Bacterial small subunit ribosomal RNA
Source: RNAcentral
GAUGAACGCUGGCGGCGCGCCUAACACAUGCAAGUCGAACGAUUAAAGCACCUUUUAGGUGUGUAUAAAGUGGCGAACGGCUGAGUAACACGUGGGCAACCUGCCCUCCUCUUGGGGAUAGCCUCGGGAAACCGAGGAUAAUACCCGAUACUUCACUUGAGCCGCAUGACUCAAGUGAGAAAGCUUUUACGGAGAAGGAUGGGCCCGCGGCCUGUUAGCUUGUUGGUGGGGUAGAGGCCUACCAAGGCAAUGAUGGGUAGCUGGGUUGAGAGACCGACCAGCCAGAUUGGGACUGAGACACGGCCCAGACUCCUACGGGAGGCAGCAGUGGGGAAUCUUGCACAAUGGGCGAAAGCCUGAUGCAGCGACGCCGCGUGCGGGACGAAGACCUUCGGGUUGUAAACCGCUUUCAGCAGGGACGAGGCGUAAGUGACGGUACCUGCAGAAGAAGCCCCGGCUAACUACGUGCCAGCAGCCGCGGUAAUACGUAGGGGGCAAGCGUUAUCCGGAUUCAUUGGGCGUAAAGCGCUCGUAGGCGGUCUGUUAGGUCGGGAGUUAAAUCCGGAGGCUCAACCUCCGUCCGCUCCCGAUACCGGCAGACUUGAGUUUGGUAGGGGAAGGUGGAAUUCCUAGUGUAGCGGUGGAAUGCGCAGAUAUUAGGAAGAACACCAGUGGCGAAGGCGGCCUUCUGGGCCAUAACUGACGCUGAGGAGCGAAAGCUAGGGGAGCAAACAGG